GCCGCGGUAGCUCAGUUGGGAGAGCGCCGCCCUCGUAAUGCGGAAGUCGCCGGUUCGACCCCGGCUCGCGGCU
Molecule: transfer RNA, 73 nt
Filed under: Humisphaera borealis
Lineage: Bacteria; Pseudomonadati; Planctomycetota; Phycisphaerae; Tepidisphaerales; Tepidisphaeraceae
Description: tRNA-Thr
Rfam family: tRNA
About the family: Transfer RNA (tRNA) molecules are approximately 80 nucleotides in length. Their secondary structure includes four short double-helical elements and three loops (D, anti-codon, and T loops).
Source: RNAcentral